This is a non-coding RNA of Podarcis lilfordi (Lilford's wall lizard), 1076 nucleotides long. Lineage: Eukaryota; Metazoa; Chordata; Lepidosauria; Squamata; Lacertidae. The record is from the annotation of a GenBank genome assembly.
GGAGAAAAGUUUAAGUGAUGGUGGAAGAUGCUUUGGACAGCGAUUUAGCAAAUGGGUCUCUGAAUCAUGGCCUCCUCCCAUUAAAUGUUUGCUGGAGGAGCAUUUAAAGCAAGGUGGGAAGCACUUCAGAAAAUGGUCUGGCAUAGUGCUCUCUGAAACAUCUCCCAUCCUCCUCUAAAAGGGUUUGGGCUGGGCAAGCUGUGAGGGGAUAGUGGGUGGGUAAGGUGUAAAGAGUAGGGGGGUUGGCGGGAUGAAAAGAGAGUGGGUUGGCCAGGUGUGGGAGAAGGGUGCUUGCAGAGUGCAGAUUUAGCAGGAAGGCACAUUGGGGAGAGACGAGAGCAGGGGUGGCAUAUAUUUUUACAUUCCUAGCCCCUGCCAAGGAGUCAAAGGUGACAUACUUGGUUCUUCCUCCCUCUCCAUUUGAUCCCCACAAAAACACAGUGAAGUAACUUAUUCUGAGAGGCCGGCUGCCCCAACGUCACCCAGUGAGCUUCAUAGCUCCAGUACGGGGAGGAGUUUGAUUCCUAGUCUCCCAAGUCCUAAAUCAACAUGCUAGUCACUACACCAUAUAUGUAGGGCAGGGAUGGCCAACAGGUAGAUCGCGAUAUACCGGUAUCUCGCAGGGUGCCUGUGGUAGAUCACGGUAGAUCUUGGGACCCCUCCCACCCACCCCCUCAAAAAACAACUUUGAUCUCCAAAAAAAAGUUCAACAACUUUGAUCAAUCCAGGGGGUAAUCACCUCCAGUUUUUUUUAAUAGUGGGAGUAGAUUGCAGUCUCUUGGAAGUUGGACAAGCCUGAAACUGUAUUGGGUAUAACCCUCAUAAGGUACAUAGUUGUUGACAUUCAAGUCCUGUUCAUUUCAACCCAACUAAACUGUGCGACAAAGUAAAUGUGAUGUUAAUGAUUUGGCAGUGCUACCACAGUCUGCGAAAAAGAAGCUAGUCAAAAGAAAAAGAAAGAAAGAAAGAAAGAAAGAAAGAAAGAAAGAAGCUUGCUGAGAAAGAAGAUGCAUUACAAUGUGAGCGGCACAGGCUAAUCCUAGUAACAGUAGCUCAUGCCAAGAAAGGGGAGAAGU